CAGACCUCUGAUCAGAAAAGACUACCCGCUGAAUUUAA
Molecule: ribosomal RNA, 38 nt
Filed under: Leucobryum juniperoideum
Lineage: Eukaryota; Viridiplantae; Streptophyta; Bryopsida; Dicranales; Leucobryaceae
Description: partial 26S ribosomal RNA
Source: RNAcentral